This 253-nucleotide ribosomal RNA is filed under the name uncultured bacterium. RNAcentral's name for it is "partial 16S ribosomal RNA". It matches the Rfam family "Bacterial small subunit ribosomal RNA", at positions 524 to 776 of the family's 1533-position model. The record is from RNAcentral.
UACGGAGGGUGCAAGCGUUAUCCGGAUUUACUGGGUUUAAAGGGUGUGUAGGCGGGUCUUUAAGUCAGUGGUGAAAUCUCCGAGCUUAACUUGGAAACUGCCAUUGAUACUGUUGAUCUUGAAUUCUGUUGAGGUAGGCGGAAUAAGUCAUGUAGCGGUGAAAUGCAUAGAUAUGACUUAGAACACCAAUUGCGAAGGCAGCUUGCUAAACAGAUAUUGACGCUGAGGCACGAAAGCGUGGGGAUCAAACAGG